UUNGGAGCUCUCCCAUAUGGUCGACCUGCAGGCGGCCGCGAAUUCACUAGUGAUUAGAGUUUGAUCCUGGCUCAGAUUGAACGCUGGCGGCGUGCUUAACACAUGCAAGUCGAACGUGAAAGUCCUUCGGGACGAGUAAAGUGGCGCACGGGUGAGUAACGCGUGGAUAAUCUACCCUUAAGAUGGGGAUAACGGCUGGAAACGGUCGCUAAUACCGAAUACGCUCCCGAUUUUAUCGUUGGGGGGAAAGAUGGCCUCUGCUUGCAAGCUAUCGCUUAAGGAUGAGUCCGCGUCCCAUUAGCUAGUUGGCGGGGUAACGGCCCACCAAGGCGACGAUGGGUAGCCGGUCUGAGAGGAUGACCGGCCACACUGGAACUGGAACACGGUCCAGACUCCUACGGGAGGCAGCAGUGGGGAAUAUUGCGCAAUGGGCGAAAGCCUGACGCAGCGACGCCGCGUGAGGGAUGAAGGUUCUCGGAUCGUAAACCUCUGUCAGGGGGGAAGAAACCCCCUCGUGUGAAUAAUGCGAGGGCUUGACGGUACCCCCAAAGGAAGCACCGGCUAACUCCGUGCCAGCAGCCGCGGUAAUACGGAGGGUGCAAGCGUUAAUCGGAAUCACUGGGCGUAAAGCGCACGUAGGCGGCUAAUCGAAUUCCCGCGGCCGCCAUGGCGGCCGGGAGCAUGCGACGUCGGGCCCAAUUCGCCCUAUAGUGAGUCGUAUUACAAUUCACUGGCCGUCGUUUUACAACGUCGUGACUGGGAAAACCCUGGCGUUACCCAACUUAAUCGCCUUGCAGCACAUCCCCCUUUCGCCAGCUGGCGUAAUAGCGAANAGGCCCGCACCGAUCGCCCNUCCCAACAGUUGCGC
Molecule: ribosomal RNA, 868 nt
Filed under: uncultured Bilophila sp.
Lineage: Bacteria; Pseudomonadati; Thermodesulfobacteriota; Desulfovibrionia; Desulfovibrionales; Desulfovibrionaceae
Description: bacterial SSU rRNA
Rfam family: Bacterial small subunit ribosomal RNA
Source: RNAcentral